UACGGAGGAUGCGAGCGUUAUCCGGAUUUAUUGGGUUUAAAGGGUGCGCAGGCGGGGGAUUAAGUCGGCGGUGAAAUUUUGCAGCUCAACUGUAAAAGUGCCUUCGAAACUGGUUUCCUUGAGUGUAGAUGAAGUAGGCGGAAUUUGUGGUGUAGCGGUGAAAUGCAUAGAUAUCACGAGGAACUCCGAUUGCGCAGGCAGCUUACUAAGCCAUAACUGACGCUCAAGCACGAAGGCGUGGGGAUCAAACAGGAUUAGAUACCCGGGUA
This 269-nucleotide ribosomal RNA is filed under the name uncultured prokaryote. RNAcentral describes it as "partial 16S ribosomal RNA". It matches the Rfam family "Bacterial small subunit ribosomal RNA", at positions 524 to 792 of the family's 1533-position model. The record is from RNAcentral.